GACGAACGCUGGCGGCGUGCUUAACACAUGCAAGUCGAACGGAAAGGCCCUGCUUUUGUGGGGUGCUCGAGUGGCGAACGGGUGAGUAACACGUGAGUAACCUGCCCUUGACUUUGGGAUAACUUCAGGAAACUGGGGCGAAUACCGGAUAGGAUCUCCUGCUGCAUGGUGGGGGUUGGAAAGUUUCGGCGGUUGUGGAUGGACUCGCGGCUUAUCAGCUUGUUGGUGAGGUAGUGGCUUACCAAGGCUUUGACGGGUAGCCGGCCUGAGAGGGUGAACGGCCACCUUGGGACUGAGAUACGGACCAGACUGCUACGGGCGGCAGUAGUGGGGAAUAUUGCACAAUGGGCGGAAGCCUGAUGCAGCAACGCCGCGUGCGGAAUGCCGGCCUUCGGGUUGUAAACCGAUUUCGACUGUGACGAAGCGUGAGUGACGGUAAUGGGUAAAGAAGCAACGGCUAACUACGUG
This 468-nucleotide ribosomal RNA is filed under the name uncultured bacterium. Its description in RNAcentral is "partial 16S ribosomal RNA". It matches the Rfam family "Bacterial small subunit ribosomal RNA", at positions 28 to 507 of the family's 1533-position model. The record is from RNAcentral.